RNAcentral lists this ribosomal RNA (2185 nucleotides) under Bacillus sp. C1-1. Its description in RNAcentral is "partial 23S ribosomal RNA". It matches the Rfam family "Bacterial large subunit ribosomal RNA", at positions 698 to 2872 of the family's 2925-position model. Lineage: Bacteria; Bacillati; Bacillota; Bacilli; Caryophanales; Bacillaceae. The record is from RNAcentral.
AGUACGUUGUCGUAGACCCGAAACCGGGUGAUCUACCCAUGUCCAGGGUGAAGGUCGGGUAACACCGACUGGAGGCCCGAACCCACGCAUGUUGAAAAAUGCGGGGAUGAGGUGUGGGUAGGGGUGAAAUGCCAAUCGAACUCGGAAAUAGCUGGUUCUCCCCGAAAUAGCUUUAGGGCUAGCCUCGAGUGAUGAGUUUUGGAGGUAGAGCACUGAUUGGACGAGGGGUCCCCACAGGAUUACCGAAUUCAGUCAAACUCCGAAUGCCAAAAACUUUAACUCGGGAGUCAGACUGCGAGUGCUAAGAUCCGUAGUCAAGAGGGAAACAGCCCAGACCAUCAGCUAAGGUCCCCAAGUAUACGUUAAGUGGAAAAGGAUGUGGAGUUGCUUAGACAACCAGGAUGUUGGCUUAGAAGCAGCCAUCAUUGAAAGAGUGCGUAAUAGCUCACUGGUCGAGUGACUCUGCGCCGAAAAUGUACCGGGGCUAAACGUAUCACCGAAGCUAUGGCAAUCCCAGUAGGGAUUGGGUAGGGGAGCGUUCCAAGGACUGUGAAGCUAGAUCGUGAGGACUAGUGGAGUGCUUGGAAGUGAGAAUGCCGGUAUGAGUAGCGAAAAGAGGGGUGAGAAUCCCCUCCGUCGAAAGCCCAAGGUUUCCUGAGGAAGGCUCGUCCGCUCAGGGUUAGUCGGGACCUAAGCCGAGGCCGAAAGGCGUAGGCGAUGGACAACAGGUUGAUAUUCCUGUACCACCUCGUAUUUGUUUGAACGAUGGGGGGACGCAGAAAGGUAGGGUGAGCGCGCCGCUGGCUGUGCGCGUCGAAGCAUGCAAGGCUGGAACAUAGGCAAAUCCGUGUUCCGUGAAGGCUGAGCUGUGACCGUGAAGGACCCAAGGGUCCGAAAUCCCUGAUCCUCCGCUGCCGAGAAAAGCCUCUAGUUAGAAUACAGGUGCCCGUACCGCAAACCGACACAGGUAGGCGAGAAGAGAAUUCUAAGACGCUCGGGAGAACUCUCGUUAAGGAACUCGGCAAAAUGACCCCGUAACUUCGGGAGAAGGGGUGCUCUAUUAGGGUGUUAAAGCCCGAGAGAGCCGCAGUGAAUAGAUCCAAGCGACUGUUUAGCAAAAACACAGGUCUCUGCGAAGCCGUAAGGCGAAGUAUAGGGGCUGACACCUGCCCGGUGCUGGAAGGUUAAGAGGAGGGGUUAUCCCGUAAGGGAGAAGCUCUGAAUUGAAGCCCCAGUAAACGGCGGCCGUAACUAUAACGGUCCUAAGGUAGCGAAAUUCCUUGUCGGGUAAGUUCCGACCCGCACGAAUGGUGCAACGACUUGGAUACUGUCUCAACGAGAGACCCGGUGAAAUUAUAGUACCUGUGAAGAUGCAGGUUACCCGCGACAGGACGGAAAGACCCCAUGGAGCUUUACUGUAGCUUGAUAGUGAGUGUUGGUACCAUUUGUACAGGAUAGGUAGGAGCCUUGGAAGCCGGAGCGCUAGCUUCGGUGGAGGCGUCGGUGGGAUACUACCCUGAUGGUGCUGACAUUCUAACCUCGACCCGUGAUCCGGGUCAGGGACAUUGUCAGGUGGGCAGUUUGACUGGGGCGGUCGCCUCCUAAACAGUAACGGAGGCGCCCAAAGGUUCCCUCAGAAUGGUUGGAAAUCAUUCGUAGAGUGCAAAGGCAUAAGGGAGCUUGACUGCGAGACCUACAAGUCGAGCAGGGACGAAAGUCGGGCUUAGUGAUCCGGCGGUGCCGUAUGGAAGGGCCGUCGCUCAACGGAUAAAAGCUACCCUGGGGAUAACAGGCUUAUCUCCCCCAAGAGUCCACAUCGACGGGGAGGUUUGGCACCUCGAUGUCGGCUCGUCGCAUCCUGGGGCUGAAGUAGGUCCCAAGGGUUGGGCUGUUCGCCCAUUAAAGCGGCACGCGAGCUGGGUUCAGAACGUCGUGAGACAGUUCGGUCCCUAUCCGUCGCGGGCGUAGGAAAUUUGAGAGGAGCUGUCCUUAGUACGAGAGGACCGGGAUGGACAUACCGCUGGUGUACCAGUUGUUCCGCCAGGAGCAUCGCUGGGUAGCUACGUAUGGACGGGAUAAGUGCUGAAAGCAUCUAAGCAUGAAGCCCCCCUCAAGAUGAGAUUUCCCAUGGCGUAAGCCAGUAAGACCCCUUAGAGAUGAUGAGGUUGAUAGGUCAGAAGUGGAA